Molecule: ribosomal RNA, 253 nt
Filed under: uncultured bacterium
Lineage: Bacteria
Description: partial 16S ribosomal RNA
Rfam family: Bacterial small subunit ribosomal RNA
Source: RNAcentral
GACAGAGGGUGCAAACGUUGCUCGGAAUCAUUGGGCGUAAAGCGCGUGUAGGCGGCCCGGUAAGUCCGCUGUGAAAGUCGGGGGCUCAACCCUCGGAAGCCGGUGGAUACUGUCGGGCUCGAGUACGGAAGAGGCGAGUGGAAUUCCUGGUGUAGCGGUGAAAUGCGCAGAUAUCAGGAGGAACACCAAUUGCGAAGGCAGCUCGCUGGGACGUAACCGACGCUGAGACGCGAAAGCGUGGGGAGCAAACAGG